CCGUCCGGUAUGAGGGUGAAACGGGCCGUCCCCAUACCCCGUCCGGUAUGGGCGCCAAAACCAUAAGAUCUCCAUACCCCGUCCGGCAUGUGAGACCACAAUCCCGGUAGGGUUCCCUACGGACCCGGUCCGUCCACCAUCUCCCAAGAUAUCUAGUCAGGCUGACCCCAUCAUACAAUUAUCAGUUUACACAAUGUUUCAUUUUCUUUUUCCUCAAUAAGCAUUAUCAAUUCACAUUUAAACAAGCAAAUCGUAAUUCAUGCCAAACAGACAACAUACAGUAUCAGUUCUUCAGUCAUUCAACCCAUAAUUAAUAAAACAGUAAUAUAUGCACUCGAAACUAUAAAAUAAACACAUCAAACCCCAUAAUGCAUUUAAAGCUGUAAAACAGGCCAAAUAACAGUAAAUCAUCAAUCACACUAGACUCGGACUCCAUUAGCAACCUUAAGCAAUUUCACACAUGCGUUAAUUCAAGA
This 476-nucleotide long non-coding RNA is filed under the name Carica papaya (papaya). RNAcentral describes it as "long non-coding RNA (CPAP_LNC013291)". The record is from RNAcentral. Lineage: Eukaryota; Viridiplantae; Streptophyta; Magnoliopsida; Brassicales; Caricaceae.